This 73-nucleotide non-coding RNA is filed under the name Partenskyella glossopodia. The record is from RNAcentral. Lineage: Eukaryota; Cercozoa; Chlorarachniophyceae.
UGAAAGAAAAAAAAAAAUAAAAAAAAAAAUCAGACACAAGUGAAGCAACGUCGUUCUCUUUUUUUCUUCUUUU